RNAcentral lists this antisense RNA (194 nucleotides) under Klebsiella sp. RIT-PI-d. Its description in RNAcentral is "Yersinia sRNA 251". It matches the Rfam family "Yersinia sRNA 251". Rfam says of the family: Antisense to phoH gene. Trimmed on 5'end from the original size. The record is from Rfam by way of RNAcentral. Lineage: Bacteria; Pseudomonadati; Pseudomonadota; Gammaproteobacteria; Enterobacterales; Enterobacteriaceae.
AAUAGGCCUGCAGCGUACGCUGACAGAGCGCCGAGCGCACACAGUCGUCGGUGGUAAAACGGACCACGCCAAUCAUUUCAUCUUCUUCAAAACGCGCCAGCGCAUCGCUCAGCCCGGAGUUAACAUGCGACGGCAGAUCGCACUGGGUGAUAUCACCAUUAACGAUGACCGUCACAUUUUCCCCAAGGCGGGUU